Molecule: ribosomal RNA, 253 nt
Filed under: uncultured bacterium
Lineage: Bacteria
Description: partial 16S ribosomal RNA
Rfam family: Bacterial small subunit ribosomal RNA
Source: RNAcentral
UACGUAGGGACCAAGCGUUGUUCGGAUUUACUGGGGGUAAAGGGCGCGUAGGCGGCUUAACAAGUCACUUGUGAAAUCUCCGGGCUUAACUCGGAACGGCCAAGUGAAACUGUCAAGCUAGAGUGCAGAAGGGGCAAUCGGAAUUCUUGGUGUAGCGGUGAAAUGCGUAGAUAUCAAGAGGAACACCUGAGGUGAAGACGGGUUGCUGGGCUGACACUGACGCUGAGGCGCGAAAGCCAGGGGAGCAAACGGG